GUCCACGCUGUAAACGAUGUUCACUAGGUGUAGGGGGUAUCGACCCCCUCUGUGCCGAAGCUAACGUGUUAAGUGAACCGCCUGGGGAGUACGGCCGCAAGGCUAAAACUCAAAGGAAUUGACGGGGGCCCGCACAAGCAGUGGAUCAUGUGGUUUAAUUCGACGAUACGCGAAAAACCUUACCACAUCUUGACAUCCGCCGAAUCCUGUAGAAGUACAGGAGUGCCUUCGGGAACGGCGAGACAGGUGGUGCAUGGCUGUCGU
RNAcentral lists this ribosomal RNA (264 nucleotides) under uncultured bacterium. Its description in RNAcentral is "partial 16S ribosomal RNA". It matches the Rfam family "Bacterial small subunit ribosomal RNA", at positions 793 to 1055 of the family's 1533-position model. The record is from RNAcentral.